This 350-nucleotide ribosomal RNA is filed under the name Pseudarthrobacter sp. RNAcentral describes it as "bacterial SSU rRNA". It matches the Rfam family "Bacterial small subunit ribosomal RNA", at positions 819 to 1167 of the family's 1533-position model. The record is from RNAcentral. Lineage: Bacteria; Bacillati; Actinomycetota; Actinomycetes; Micrococcales; Micrococcaceae.
GGUGUGGGGGACAUUCCACGUUUUCCGCGCCGUAGCUAACGCAUUAAGUGCCCCGCCUGGGGAGUACGGCCGCAAGGCUAAAACUCAAAGGAAUUGACGGGGGCCCGCACAAGCGGCGGAGCAUGCGGAUUAAUUCGAUGCAACGCGAAGAACCUUACCAAGGCUUGACAUGAACCGGAAAGACCUGGAAACAGGUGCCCCGCUUGCGGUCGGUUUACAGGUGGUGCAUGGUUGUCGUCAGCUCGUGUCGUGAGAUGUUGGGUUAAGUCCCGCAACGAGCGCAACCCUCGUUCUAUGUUGCCAGCACGUGAUGGUGGGGACUCAUAGGAGACUGCCGGGGUCAACUCGGA